UACGGGGGGGGCAAGCGUUGUUCGGAAUUACUGGGCGUAAAGGGCUCGUAGGUGGCCAACUAAGUCAGACGUGAAAUCCCUCGGCUUAACCGGGGAACUGCGUCUGAUACUGGAUGGCUAGAGUUUGGGAGAGGGAUGCGGAAUUCCAGGUGUAGCGGUGAAAUGCGUAGAUAUCUGGAGGAACACCGGUGGCGAAGGCGGCAUCCUGGACCAACACUGACGCUGAGGAGCGAAAACCAGGGGAGCAAACGGG
Molecule: ribosomal RNA, 253 nt
Filed under: uncultured bacterium
Lineage: Bacteria
Description: partial 16S ribosomal RNA
Rfam family: Bacterial small subunit ribosomal RNA
Source: RNAcentral